AAAUCCGGAGUCAUAUUAGCCCCAACACACGCGAAUCACUAAUUCAUUCUAUUCUUUCUAUCGCUCACUCGUCCCCCUAAAUUAUUUUAAAAAAACCCUAACCCUAGAUUAUUACAAAAUCAAUCCAAUGGGCACCGACCAAGACACCCAGCGCAAGCACCGUCGAUCCACCUCUGAUGAUGAAGCCGAGAAGUCCUCUAAACGACAUAAACAUCGUCAUCAUCACCACCGUCACCGUCACCACCGAAGCAGGAAGCACGAAGACGAAACCAGUCACGGAGGUGAUGACGUGGCUCCCUCUGUUCCCGUCAUUAAUAGUUGUCGGAUUGAUGAUGACGUGGAGGAAGGAGAGAUUCUCGAAGAGGACAAUUUUGAAACCAAGAAAUUGGAUUCUUCUGAAAUUAAAGCCGAUUUACUUGAUGGAGUCGACUCUCGAAUUCCGGAAGUUGGUGAAUUUGAUCAUGUGAAAGAAACUCCACCGGACAAGAUUGAUGAUGACUUGCUUGCUAAUUCUGGCAUCAGUGAAAAGAUUCACAAUGAUCUUAAUGUCAAUGGAGAUUUUCCCCAUGAUUAUAGUAAAGAUAUUGAUAGACAAGAUAAUGAUAGUCGACUGAGGGAAUCUGUGUCUCCUUCAAGGAAAAGCCGAAAGCAGAAGACUUAUUUUUUUACUGAUGGAAUGGAAGAUGAUGUUAGCAAAUUACGGGAGAGGAGGAAAUCAUUGUCCUCUGAAAGCUCCGGGGACAGGCAUAAGCCAGUGGUGUGCUCACCAUCACGUGAUAGAUCUAAUGAUGGUUUUCAUGCCAGGAGGAGUAGGUCAAGGUCACAGGAUCUUGCUUUGGAAAGAGCUCGUUCCCAAAGCAUAAUGGAAGAAGAAACUAUUGUUAAAAGAGGGCAUCGUCAUGAUUGGGGUCUGAAAAACUCUGAAGAUAAGAGGGUUAUUCAACACAGUAGGAAUGAGAGACAUGGUAGUAAGGAUUUAGUGAGGGAUGAGGAAAGGGAACACAGUAGUAGUUACAGCAGCAGACACAUUAGCAGAGAGGAUAGAUAUCACAGUCGGGAAAUACAGGAUGGAGAGAGGAGUUGGGAGAGAGAGACGGAAAAGGAUCGGAGAAGGGAGAAGGAAAGGGAAAGCAGCAGGAAUAUGGAGACAAACAAGGAACGGAGAAGAGACAAAGAACGAGAGAGUAGGGACAGGCAAUUAUACACUGAAAGGGAGGAACGAGGUAGGGACAGGUAUGAAGAGGUGGAUCGGGAUGGGAAAAGGAAGAAGGAAAGAGACAGGAGCAGAGAUAGAGCUAGGGUCAGUGAUAGAGAGAUAGAUAGACAUGGGGAAAGGGGGAGAGAUGGGGACAAGGCCAGAGCUAGGGAGCAUCACUUAGAGAGGGAGAGGGAGAGAUGGAGUGAUAGAAGUCAAGGUAAAGCUGGAGGUAUUGAGAGUCAUAUGGAGAAGUAUGCAAGUUUUGAUGACAGUUAUAAAAGCCGAGAUAAGUUUAAACAUUCUAGGCACUUGACUCAUGAUGAUGAUAAGGGACAUUUUCGUGAUAGAACAAGAAGGGACAAUCCUGCCAAAGCUCAUAGUUCUAACAGUCAUUGUUGGGAGGCAGGUGGUGAUGGAAAAACAAGAGAUGAAGAUGAUUUUGAGGAAAGGGUUGGCUUAAAGCUUGUUGAACAAGAAGAAGAUCUUGACAGAAUUAAGGAGGAGAGUAGAAAGCGAAGACAAGCCAUCCUAGAUAAAUACAAAAAUCAGAAGUUACAGCAGCAUAGUGAGUCUAAUUCAGCUGAUGUGGAAAAAGAGAAAAAGUCUAUGGAGCAUCCUGGUCUAUUGAGUGGUGCUGAUAAUAAUUUUUCGGAUAAUCAUAACGAUAAAAGUAAUGGAGUUGAUGGCUACAUAGAUGACCAGUUAUUUUCUGUGAGGAAGUCACCUCUACAAAAUGGAAUUACUGCUUCUGACAGGACUUCUGGUCCUGGGGGGCUUGGUGAUGGUACUCCUAAGAGUGAGACAUCAGACGUUCUGUUUUGUGAUGAUAUAUUUGGAGAGACUCCUGUCGGUGUUCGCAAGUUGGGUAAAGCUGAAGGCUCUAAAAUUAUAAGGAGUGGCCUUCAUGACAACUGGGAUGAUGCAGAAGGGUACUAUAGUUAUCGAUUUGGUGAGUUACUUGAUGCACGAUAUGAAGUCACUGCUGCUCAUGGGAAAGGUGUUUUCUCUACUGUAGUACGUGCAAAGGAUCUAAAAUCUGGUACUGGUGAACCUGAAGAGGUAGCCAUAAAAAUUAUACGAAAUAAUGAAACAAUGAACAAGGCUGGUCAGACUGAGGUUCAGAUAUUAAAGAAAUUGGCAGGUGCCGAUCCAGAGAAUAAGCGUCACUGCGUCCGCUUUAUUUCAAAUUUUAAGUACAGGAAUCAUCUUUGUUUAGUUUUUGAAUCUCUUCAUAUGAAUCUGCGCGAGGUUUUAAAGAAGUUUGGCCGCAAUAUUGGCCUUAAACUGACUGCUGUGAGAGCAUAUGCAAAACAACUUUUUAUUGCUUUAAAGCAUCUAAAAAAUUGUGGCGUUCUUCAUUGUGAUAUAAAGCCAGAUAACAUGUUGGUAAACGAGGCAAAGAAUGUGUUGAAGCUUUGUGAUUUUGGUAAUGCCAUGUUUGCUGGUAAAAAUGAAAUUACACCUUACCUUGUCAGCCGAUUUUAUCGUGCACCUGAGAUAAUUCUUGGGUUGCCAUAUGAUCAUCCGCUGGAUAUCUGGUCUGUUGGAUGCUGUUUGUAUGAGCUUUAUACAGGAAAGGUUCUUUUCCCAGGAGCUACAAAUAAUGACAUGCUACGCCUUCAUAUGGAGUUGAAGGGUCCUUUUCCUAAGAAGAUGCUACGUAAGGGAGCAUUUACUGAGCAACACUUUGAUCAGGAUUUAAAUUUUCAUGCUACGGAAGAGGAUCCUGUUACUAAAAAGACUAUAAAGAGGACGAUCUUUAAUAUAAAGCCAAAAGAUAUUGGAUCAAUUGUUACAGCCUCACCUGGUGAGGAUCCCAAGAUGUUAAGUAAUUUCAAAGAUCUUCUGGAAAAGAUUUUUGUGUUGGAUCCAGAGAAGAGGAUGACAGUAGCACAGGCUUUGGCUCAUCCAUUCAUCUCGGGCAAGUGAACCAUGUUGCUGAAUUUAUACUCCAGAAAUGCUGUUGAGCUAGAUAUUUGCACAUUAUGACCUAAUUCAUACUAGAUAUCUAAUCAUUGGGCAUUAUUUGUCUUUAUCUUCUCUGUGCUGGCAUAUAAGCUUUGAACACAGUGUCGCAUGGUUGAAGUCAAAGGGGUGAUGUUGGUCAGGAGUACUCUUUUCUGGCAGUUCUUUCAGUGGAAUGUACUGUUUCUAUUGAUAUCUGCCACUGCUUUGAGGCUAUCCUCCAGUGCUUAGAUGCUUAAAAGGCACCCAAGAAAGAAACUUGCACUGGAGGUGUUUGGCUGCAGUUGACGUGAAAGAAUACUUCAGUGCAGCCCUGUGCUUCUGAAACUACUUAAUGGAACCCAAGGAUUUCUGGAAAGUGGAAAUUCUGCUUCAUGGAAUCAACUGAGAAUACCCUUCACCAAAUGUAGUAUCCAAUCACAAAAGAAAGCAUGAGUUACCCUUUGGGAUUGGAAGGUUUUCUACAUUGUGCCUUUUUAAAGCGUAAGUUACUUGUCACAAAAAAUAUAACAAAUCAAUUAAUUUUUAUAAUAUUAGUAGAUUAUCAAACUUUAUUGUUAAAAAAAAUUGAAAAGAAAAAUAUGUUAAAAAACAUUUGCAUUAAAAAUAUUAAUUACUGCCCAAAGUGUAAAAUAUCAAUUACCUUUGGAUUGAAAAAUAUUAAAUAAGUCUGACUGUACAUAAUGCACAUAUCGAAUAAAACACACAUAAUGAAAAAUAUCAAUAAACUUUUAUUAUGUGUGAUUCACAUGCUAAAAAAUAUCAAAAACCUUGUAUACUAGAAAAUAUCAGUUAUUCUCCAAUAUGCACCUCACACAUACUUGACAAAUGCUAAUAAAUCUCAACCUUCAGCAGCUCCUAUGACGUGUGACCCAAUGCUAAUAAACCUCAACCUUCAGCAGCUCCUACCAUGUUACCUGUAUGGUGACUGUGAAUCAAAUAUAGUGCAAAAACAACCUAAUCAACUGUUUUUGAGCUCAGUUUCUCCAAUAAUUGACAAAAUUUAUGCUGUCGCAAAUGAUUAAGCUAUUUUUCACAAAAAUACAAUUGCUGAGUAUCCCUGAAAAUCUAUGGAAUCCAUUAAAAAAUAGUUAAAUCUCAAUAUUAUAAGCAAUGAAACAUGAGGAUGAAUGAUUUACUAACCUUUUGCUUAUUUUAAUCAUGCAAAAAUGACUCAAAUUGCUGAAAAAAAAGGCGGAACUGUUAUGUGUGGUUUUCUCUGGUAUAUGCAGGUUUACUGUACAUGUUUUCGAAUAUUAAAAAUGAUUUUAAGGCAUGUUUAUAUAUUGGUAAUUUUAUCCAAGUCUAAUAUGUUGGUCAUAUUUAUAUCACCUUUAAAAAGUUGCUCAUGUUUGUAAACACCCCUUUAAUUGGGUUAUUUUAAUUAAUUACCGUUUAGAUUGUUAGAUAUAUGAAAGUAUUAUUCCCCUUUGUUUUGAUUAUUUCUAGUCAUUUCUAGUCAAAAGGUCAUAGUACAAUUUAGUAUUUUUGUCAAUUUCUUACAACAUCUUGUCAGUUUUACAUUUUUGGCAGUUAAAACUUACGAAGGGUAGAAGCCAUGACAUUGUUACAAUGAUGUGUUGGGUGGAAAACUUGAUUACUGUGGUUGUCUUUUGUAGUGUGAGAUGUGUUAUAUAUGGAGUAGCAGUUGUUUUAUUGCUGUUUUUGUACAUGUUUUCUUGUCUAAUUGCCAGUGUUCCAAUGCAUCUGCUGGGAAAAGUUUUCUUUAGUUGUAUGAUUAGUAUAUGUGAACUGGGUCUCUAAUUUUUUAAGUUCUUCCAUAUAUUUGACUCUAGUUGUAUUAAUAUUGACAAACAGUUAUUCUAAUCACUUUUUAUGUUUGCUGUGUUCCUUUUUGGUUUGCUCUCUGCUGUCACAUUUGCUUUCUUAAUGUGAGUGAGAGAGGAUGAUUUCUUUUUGGCAUUUUGAAUGGAGGCUCACUGCAAUUAGCCAUCUGUAGGGGUUGGCAUUCGAACAUGUCUCAACAAUAAAUGUAUUUUUGGUCUUGUCUUUACUCUUUUUAUUCACCUGCUGUUCUAGCAUAAAUUAGUCAUGCUUGCCUUGAUUUGUGUGCAAUCAAAUAUGUGGAUGACCAGAAUUAUAUACGUAUGCCAUCAGUUCCCUAUCAUGGUUAAUGCAGCCUUGCAGUAGAUGAAGUUGAAUAAAAUGUAGUGUUAAUUGCAUGUAUGUGUAUCAAUGAGAGGUGUGGUUGUGUUCUGUUAUAUGUGUAAAGGCUGUAACUUUGUGAAAUACCAGUAAGUAAUGCUCAAAGGUCCCAUGGCUUUCCUGGCCUUAUCCUCUGGUUUUUGAACGUGUGUAAGUCAUGAACCUAACAUGGAGGAAUAUGAGCUUAUACAUGACUGGAUUGUAUGAGGACUGUAUUUCCAAUGCCCUUGAAUAUGGCAAUUCGGAGCUGCAUCAACAUUUAUUUAUUUGAAUGUAUGAUUAUCUUUACUUGUUCUCCAAUUGGUGCAUUAAAAAUAGUUGUUUUACUCUC
Molecule: RNA transcript, 5660 nt
Organism: Mangifera indica (mango)
Lineage: Eukaryota; Viridiplantae; Streptophyta; Magnoliopsida; Sapindales; Anacardiaceae
Gene name: serine/threonine-protein kinase prpf4B
Exons: 15
Source: RefSeq, a predicted model, not a curated record